UUCCGGUUGAUCCUGCCGGAGGCGACCGCUUUGGGAGUUCGAUUAAGCCAUGCGAGUCGUGAGUCUUAGGGACUCGGCAUACUGCUCAGUAACACGUGGAUAACCUGCCCUAUCGUCUGGAAUAACCUCGGGAAACUGAGAAUAAGGCCGGAUAGUUCACAAUGCCUGGAACGGUUUGUGAAUCAAGGUAGGAUGGGUCUGCGGCGUAUCAGGUUGUAGGGGGUGUAAAGGACCCCCUAGCCUUCGACGCGUACGGGUGUUGGGAGACAUAGCCCGGAGAUGGAUUCCGAGACACGAAUCCAGACCCUACGGGGUGCAGCAGGCGCGAAAACUUCACACUGCAGGAAACUGUGAUGAGGGAACUCCUAGUGCAUGCACUAUGUGUAUGUAGAUCCUACUCUUAACAAGUAGAGGGAAAGGGCUGGGAAAGACCGGUGCCAGCCGCCGCGGUAAUACCGGCAGCUCAAGUGGUCGUCGCUUUUAUUGGGCCUAAAACGUCCGUAGCCUGUUUGGUAAAUCUGUGGGUAAAUCAACUCGCUCAACGAGUUGAAUUCUGCAGAGACUGCCAGACUAGGGACCGGGAGAGGUGUGGGGUACUCGAGGGGUAGGGGUAAAAUCCUGUCAUCCUUUGAGGACCACCAGUUGCGAAGGCGCCACACUGGAACGGAUCCGACGGUCAGGGACGAAGCCUAGGGGCACGAACCGGAUUAGAUACCCGGGUAGUCCUAGGUGUAAACGCUGUGAACUUGGUGUCGGGGGUCCGCAAGGGGUCCCCGGUGCCGGAGUGAAGAUGUUAAGUUCACUGCCUGGGGAGUACGGUCGCAAGGCUGAAACUUAAAGGAAUUGGCGGGGGAGCACUGCAACGGGAGGAGCGUGCGGUUUAAUUGGAUCAACGCCGGA
RNAcentral lists this ribosomal RNA (900 nucleotides) under uncultured archaeon. RNAcentral's name for it is "bacterial SSU rRNA". It matches the Rfam family "Archaeal small subunit ribosomal RNA", at positions 1 to 922 of the family's 1478-position model. The record is from RNAcentral.